GGGUUGUGAGGUUAAGCGACUAAGCGUACACGGUGGAUGCCCUGGCAGUCAGAGGCGAUGAAGGACGUGCUAAUCUGCGAUAAGCGCCGGUAAGGUGAUAUGAACCGUUAUAACCGGCGAUUUCCGAAUGGGGAAACCCAGUGUGAUUCGUCACACUAUCAUUAACUGAAUCCAUAGGUUAAUGAGGCGAACCGGGGGAACUGAAACAUCUAAGUACCCCGAGGAAAAGAAAUCAACCGAGAUUCCCCCAGUAGCGGCGAGCGAACGGGGAGGAGCCCAGAGCCUGAAUCAGCAUGUGUGUUAGUGGAAGCGUCUGGAAAGGCGCGCGAUACAGGGUGACAGCCCCGUACACAAAAGCGCAUGUGCUGUGAGCUCGAUGAGUAGGGCGGGACACGUGGUAUCCUGUCUGAAUAUGGGGGACCAUCCUCCAAGGCUAAAUACUCCUGACUGACCGAUAGUGAACCAGUACCGUGAGGGAAAGGCGAAAAGAACCCCGGCGAGGGGAGUGAAAAAGAACCUGAAACCGUGUACGUACAAGCAGUGGGAGCACAGGUUUACCUGUGUGACUGCGUACCUUUUGUAUAAUGGGUCAGCGACUUAUAUUCUGUAGCAAGGUUAACCGAAUAGGGGAGCCGGAGGGAAACCGAGUCUUAAUUGGGCGUUAAGUUGCAGGGUAUAGACCCGAAACCCGGUGAUCUAGCCAUGGGCAGGUUGAAGGUUGGGUAACACUAACUGGAGGACCGAACCGACUAAUGUUGAAAAAUUAGCGGAUGACCUGUGGCUGGGGUGAAAGGCCAAUCAAACCGGGAGAUAGCUGGUUCUCCCGAAAGCUAUUUAGGUAGCGCCUCGUGAACUCAUCUCCGGGGGUAGAGCACUGUUUCGGCUAGGGGGCCAUCCCGGCUUACCAACCCGAUGCAAACUGCGAAUACCGGAGAAUGUUAUCACGGGAGACACACGGCGGGUGCUAACGUCCGUCGUGAAGAGGGAAACAACCCAGACCGCCAGCUAAGGUCCCAAAGUCAUGGUUAAGUGGGAAACGAUGUGGGAAGGCCCAGACAGCCAGGAUGUUGGCUUAGAAGCAGCCAUCAUUUAAAGAAAGCGUAAUAGCUCACUGGUCGAGUCGGCCUGCGCGGAAGAUGUAACGGGGCUAAACCAUGCACCGAAGCUGCGGCAGCGACACUGUGUGUUGUUGGGUAGGGGAGCGUUCUGUAAGCCUGUGAAGGUGGCCUGUGAGGGUUGCUGGAGGUAUCAGAAGUGCGAAUGCUGACAUAAGUAACGAUAAAGCGGGUGAAAAGCCCGCUCGCCGGAAGACCAAGGGUUCCUGUCCAACGUUAAUCGGGGCAGGGUGAGUCGACCCCUAAGGCGAGGCCGAAAGGCGUAGUCGAUGGGAAACAGGUUAAUAUUCCUGUACUUGGUGUUACUGCGAAGGGGGACGGAGAAGGCUAUGUUGGCCGGGCGACGGUUGUCCCGGUUUAAGCGUGUAGGCUGGUUUUCCAGGCAAAUCCGGAAAAUCAAGGCUGAGGCGUGAUGACGAGGCACUACGGUGCUGAAGCAACAAAUGCCCUGCUUCCAGGAAAAGCCUCUAAGCAUCAGGUAACAUCAAAUCGUACCCCAAACCGACACAGGUGGUCAGGUAGAGAAUACCAAGGCGCUUGAGAGAACUCGGGUGAAGGAACUAGGCAAAAUGGUGCCGUAACUUCGGGAGAAGGCACGCUGACACGUAGGUGAAGUGAUUUACUCACGGAGCUGAAGUCAGUCGAAGAUACCAGCUGGCUGCAACUGUUUAUUAAAAACACAGCACUGUGCAAACACGAAAGUGGACGUAUACGGUGUGACGCCUGCCCGGUGCCGGAAGGUUAAUUGAUGGGGUCAGCGCAAGCGAAGCUCCUGAUCGAAGCCCCGGUAAACGGCGGCCGUAACUAUAACGGUCCUAAGGUAGCGAAAUUCCUUGUCGGGUAAGUUCCGACCUGCACGAAUGGCGUAAUGAUGGCCAGGCUGUCUCCACCCGAGACUCAGUGAAAUUGAACUCGCUGUGAAGAUGCAGUGUACCCGCGGCAAGACGGAAAGACCCCGUGAACCUUUACUAUAGCUUGACACUGAACAUUGAGCCUUGAUGUGUAGGAUAGGUGGGAGGCUUUGAAGCGUGGACGCCAGUCUGCGUGGAGCCGACCUUGAAAUACCACCCUUUAAUGUUUGAUGUUCUAACGUGGACCCGUAAUCCGGGUUGCGGACAGUGUCUGGUGGGUAGUUUGACUGGGGCGGUCUCCUCCUAAAGAGUAACGGAGGAGCACGAAGGUUGGCUAAUCCUGGUCGGACAUCAGGAGGUUAGUGCAAUGGCAUAAGCCAGCUUGACUGCGAGCGUGACGGCGCGAGCAGGUGCGAAAGCAGGUCAUAGUGAUCCGGUGGUUCUGAAUGGAAGGGCCAUCGCUCAACGGAUAAAAGGUACUCCGGGGAUAACAGGCUGAUACCGCCCAAGAGUUCAUAUCGACGGCGGUGUUUGGCACCUCGAUGUCGGCUCAUCACAUCCUGGGGCUGAAGUAGGUCCCAAGGGUAUGGCUGUUCGCCAUUUAAAGUGGUACGCGAGCUGGGUUUAGAACGUCGUGAGACAGUUCGGUCCCUAUCUGCCGUGGGCGCUGGAGAACUGAGGGGGGCUGCUCCUAGUACGAGAGGACCGGAGUGGACGCAUCACUGGUGUUCGGGUUGUCAUGCCAAUGGCACUGCCCGGUAGCUAAAUGCGGAAGAGAUAAGUGCUGAAAGCAUCUAAGCACGAAACUUGCCCCGAGAUGAGUUCUCCCUGAGACUUAGAGUCUCCUGAAGGAACGUUGAAGACGACGACGUUGAUAGGCCGGGUGUGUAAGCGCAGCGAUGCGUUGAGCUAACCGGUACUAAUGAACCGUGAGGCUUAACCUUACAACGCCGAAG
This 2922-nucleotide ribosomal RNA is filed under the name Salmonella enterica subsp. enterica serovar Newport str. CVM 21554. RNAcentral's name for it is "bacterial LSU rRNA". It matches the Rfam family "Bacterial large subunit ribosomal RNA". The record is from RNAcentral. Lineage: Bacteria; Pseudomonadati; Pseudomonadota; Gammaproteobacteria; Enterobacterales; Enterobacteriaceae.